RNAcentral lists this transfer RNA (88 nucleotides) under Syntrophus sp. SKADARSKE-3. RNAcentral's name for it is "tRNA-Leu". It matches the Rfam family "tRNA". From Rfam's summary of the family: Transfer RNA (tRNA) molecules are approximately 80 nucleotides in length. The record is from RNAcentral. Lineage: Bacteria; Pseudomonadati; Thermodesulfobacteriota; Syntrophia; Syntrophales; Syntrophaceae.
GCCUGGGUGGCGGAACUGGUAGACGCAAGGGACUUAAAAUCCCUCACAGCUUGACUGUAUGAGGAUUCGAUUUCCUCCCCAGGCACCA